RNAcentral lists this long non-coding RNA (916 nucleotides) under Equus caballus (horse). RNAcentral's name for it is "lncRNA (ENSECAG00000057337.1)". The record is from RNAcentral. Lineage: Eukaryota; Metazoa; Chordata; Mammalia; Perissodactyla; Equidae.
UCUUGUUCUUCUCUAUUACAUCCUGGGCAGGUCGAUAUAAGACAAACAUUUUCAUUUCUUCUGCAUUCUAAAAGGUCAAAAUGAUAACAAAAUCAGAAAUAGAACCCACAUCUUUGGCUUUAUUGCAGAUCUCAUCCUACUUAACUUUUAUCCCUUGGCGCCUUGUUCUGUUGGCUGGGCUUAGAGACAACUAUCUUGAAAUAAGCAGCUCUCAGCUUCUUCCUUUGCAGCUCACCUUCUUAAUUCAUGUCAUACCAGCUUGGUAGGGUGACUCCUAAACUAUAACAACAAGAAUAGUAAACUUAAUUUUAUAUAGGAUCCUUCAUACAGCGCCAUUACAAAACGCUUUGCCAAUUUAAGAGUUGUAGAAUUACAAAGCAGCGCUAUCGAAUUAAAUAAGUAACAGCUGAUACUAAUAAUUAGCUUAAUUUAUGGUCUAGCAGAACUGUCACAACUGAGGCAGCUCUCCCUCCGCCUCUCAUCUCCCUCUCUUUUCUUCCUCAUCCCUCCUCCUUUGGCAAUGGCAACCAAGUGAAGUGCUGAGAUUGUCACAUUAGUCAUCAGAAAGUCAAGUCACUUCUUCCUUUACUCGGUAGCUUUACGACCUUGUUAUAUCAAGAAUUUUCAACCUUUUUGGAAUUGCUCCACCCCUUCAUGGUUUGAUUUCUCAACUGCUUCUCCUAAUGGCAGGCACCUGGUGGGAGAGGCACGAAGAAAUAUGGGCUUUCUCUACCAUCAAAAUAACGUAACCUGGGGACCAAACUCUGCAGAGCUGCUCUUUGUGGGAAGAGAUCUGUCAGUUUUCCUGAAGAUGAGCUUGUCUACUAUGAAAGAAAAUCAGUGCUCUUUAACUGUGGACUAAACCAAGACAGAUGUCCAGUUCUUGCCUCUUCCCACCAUGUAGUCUUCCUGAUUU